CUACGGGCGGCUGCAGUGGGGAAUAUUGCACAAUGGACGAAAGUCUGAUGCAGCAACGCCGCGUGGAGGAUGACACAUUUCGGUGCGUAAACUCCUUUUAUAUAGGAAGAUAAUGACGGUACUAUAUGAAUAAGCACCGGCUAACUCCGUGCCAGCAGCCGCGGUAAUACGGAGGGUGCAAGCGUUACUCGGAAUCACUGGGCGUAAAGAGCGUGUAGGCGGGUAAAUAAGUCAGAAGUGAAAUCCAAUAGCUCAACUAUUGAACUGCUUUUGAAACUGUAUACCUAGAAUGUGGGAGAGGCAGAUGGAAUUUCUGGUGUAGGGGUAAAAUCCGUAGAGAUCAGAAGGAAUACCGAUUGCGAAGGCGAUCUGCUGGAACAUUAUUGACGCUGAGACGCGAAAGCGUGGGGAGCAAACAGGAUUAGAUACCCGAGUAGUC
This 439-nucleotide ribosomal RNA is filed under the name uncultured bacterium. Its description in RNAcentral is "partial 16S ribosomal RNA". It matches the Rfam family "Bacterial small subunit ribosomal RNA", at positions 339 to 795 of the family's 1533-position model. The record is from RNAcentral.